AAUAGAUGACGCCGUUGACUUUUUCUCACAUGUUUGACCAUUCGUCUUAUUCAAAAAAUUUACGUAAUUAAUUUGUUGUUUUAUCACUUAUAGUACUUUAAGUGUGAUUUUCAUCUUAUACAUUUGCAUAAAAUUUUUGAAUAAGACGAGUGGUCAAACAUGUGAAAAAAAGUCAACGGCGUCAUCUAUU
Molecule: microRNA precursor, 190 nt
Filed under: Oryza rufipogon (brownbeard rice)
Lineage: Eukaryota; Viridiplantae; Streptophyta; Magnoliopsida; Poales; Poaceae
Description: MIR812 microRNA precursor family
Rfam family: MIR812 microRNA precursor family
Source: Rfam by way of RNAcentral